UACGGGAGUGGCAAGCGUUAUCCGGAAUUAUUGGGCGUAAAGCGUCCGCAGGCGGUCUUGUAAGUCUGUCGUUAAAGCGUGGAGCUUAACUCCAUUUAAGCGAUGGAAACUGCAAGACUAGAGUGUGGUAGGGGCAGAGGGAAUUCCCGGUGUAGCGGUGAAAUGCGUAGAUAUCGGGAAGAACACCAGUGGCGAAGGCGCUCUGCUGGGCCAUAACUGACGCUCAUGGACGAAAGCCAGGGGAGCGAAAGGGAUUAGAUACCCCUGUAGUCCUGGCCGUAAACGAUGAACACUAGGUGUCGGGGGAAUCGACCCCCUCGGUGUCGUAGCCAACGCGUUAAGUGUUCCGCCUGGGGAGUACGCACGCAAGUGUGAAACUCAAAGGAAUUGACGGGGGCCCGCACAAGCGGUGGAGUAUGUGGUUUAAUUCGAUGCAACGCGAAGAACCUUACCAGGGUUUGACAUCCUGCGAAUCCCUUGGAAACGAGGGAGUGCCUUCGGGAACGCAGUGACAGGUGGUGCAUGGCUGUCGUCAGCUCGUGUCGUGAGAUGUUGGGUUAAGUCCCGCAACGAGCGCAACCCACGUCGUUAGUUGCCAGCAUUCAGUUGGGCACUCUAGCGAGACCGCCGGUGAUAAACCGGAGGAAGGUGUGGACGGCGUCAAGUCAUCAUGCCCCUUACAUCCUGGGCUACACACGUACUACAAUGCUACGGACAAAGGGCAGCAAACUCGCGAGAGCUAGCAAAUCCCAUAAACCGUGGCUCAGUUCAGAUCGUAGGCUGCAACUCGCCUACGUGAAGGAGGAAUCGCUAGUAAUCGCAGGUCAGCAUACUGCGGUGAAUACGUUCCCGGGCCU
Molecule: ribosomal RNA, 857 nt
Filed under: uncultured bacterium
Lineage: Bacteria
Description: SSU rRNA
Rfam family: Bacterial small subunit ribosomal RNA
Source: RNAcentral